RNAcentral lists this ribosomal RNA (619 nucleotides) under Pseudopalaeosepsis nigricoxa. RNAcentral's name for it is "partial 12S ribosomal RNA". The stretch from base 410 to 481 matches the Rfam family "tRNA". Lineage: Eukaryota; Metazoa; Arthropoda; Insecta; Diptera; Sepsidae. The record is from RNAcentral.
UAGUAGUAGUUAUGUUCUUGAAACUUAAAAAAUUUGGCGGUAUUUUAGUCUAUUCAGAGGAACCUGUCCUAUAAUCGAUAAUCCACGUUGGACCUUACUUAAAUUUGUUAAUCAGUUUGUAUACCGUCGUUAUAAGAAUAUUUUAUUAGAAUAAUAAUUUUCUAGAAUUUUUAUAAAAAUUUAUAUCAGAUCAAGGUGCAGCUUAUGUUUAAGAAGAGAUGGGUUACAAUAAAUUUAUUUAAAUGAAUUAAUUUUUGAAAAAAAUUAUGAAGGUGGAUUUGAAUGUAAAAUUAUAAAGAUAAAUAAUUUGAUUUUAGCUCUAAAAUAUGUACAUAUCGCCCGUCACUCUUAUUAUUAAGGUAAGAUAAGUCGUAACAUAGUAGAUGUACUGGAAAGUGUAUCUAGAAUGCAAUUUAAAGCUUAAAUAGUAAAGCAUUUCAUUUACAUUGAAAAGAUUUUUGUGCAAUUCAAUAUAAAUUGAUUAAUUUAUGUUUAUUAAUUUAUUUAAUUUUUUGUAUUUUAUAUUAAAAAUAAUUAUAUAAGAAAAGGUUUUAGUAUUUUAUAAAGAAUAAAUAAUUUUUAUUAUAGUGUAUUAGUAUUGUGAAAGAAAAUUGAAAUA